RNA transcript from Pistacia vera, 2792 nucleotides. It is a transcript of the gene named NADP-specific glutamate dehydrogenase, with no coding region annotated. The transcript is spliced from 18 exons. The record is from RefSeq and is a predicted model, not a curated record. Lineage: Eukaryota; Viridiplantae; Streptophyta; Magnoliopsida; Sapindales; Anacardiaceae.
CCACUGAGACACAACAGAUAAUAAAAAUGUUCUCUUUCUCUGCUUCUAAAAUCUCUCCGUAAAUUCACUCACACGCACGAUCACAGAGGCUCUGAGGACUCUGAUCAGCAACACCUCUGAGCAAAGCAAGUGCAGAAGUUUAAUUUCAGAAGCGACAAGAUUAUAGGAACCAGUUUUUACUCUAAAAAACUUGGUUAUUUCUUGUUCAAGCUCUCAACUUUUCGUUGGAUUCUUCAGACUGCGGAGUACUGUGAAUUUGAGGUGUGGGUAAUAUUGUCAUGCUGAAUGUUGCUGCCGGUAGGUGGAUUAGGGAUGAAUUCCACUAUGGAUGAUAUGAACUUGAUUCAGCAGGCACAAAGGCACCACCUGGUUGUCAGAGAGCUUGGAGAGGAGAUUGAUCUGGAAAUUGGACCAGGGGAUGAUGACCCAUCAUUUGCUAAUACUCCUCUCAUAGGGGGCCCUCGUGAGCCGACUGCUGACGAGCAUGAUGAUACCAAGCAGAUGGGGAUGGUUUCUCAACUCCCCAGUGAUGAUCAAGAUAUGUCAAAGACGCAACCAGCAAAAAGGAAGAAAAAAGUUGUGAAAAGGUGGAGGGAAGAAUGGGCUGAUACCUACAAGUGGGCAUAUGUUGAUGUGAAAGAAGGAACACCAAGGAUAUUCUGCUCCAUUUGCAGAGAGUAUGGUAGGAAGCAUAGAAGGAAUCCUUAUGGGAAUGAGGGUAGUAGGAAUAUGCAGAUGAGUGCACUUGAAGAACACAACAACAGUUUGCUUCACAAAGAGGCUCUUCGUCUUCAGAUGGCAUCCAAGGAUAAAAUUAUUGUUGACAAACCCAUUUAUGUAAAAGCUCUUAUGUCAAAAACGGCUGGAUCAAUUGUCGAAGCUGCAUUGAAAAGGGAUCCUCAUGAGGUCGAGUUCAUACAAUCUGUGCAAGAAGCUGUUCAUGCUUUAGAAAGAGUGAUUGCAAAAAAUUCCCAUUACGUCAACAUCAUGGAGCGGUUGUUAGAGCCAGAGCGUAUGAUUGUUUUCCGAGUUCCAUGGGUGGAUGACAGGGGUGAGACUCAUGUUAGUCGAGGCUUUCGGGUACAAUUUAACCAGGCAUUGGGUCCAUGCAGGGGUGGUAUCCGCUUUCAUCCUUUAAUGAACUUAAGCAUUGCCAAAUUUCUUGGUUUUGAGCAGACAUUAAAGAAUGCUUUAUCACCAUACAAACUUGGAGGGGCAGCAGGCGGAAGUGAUUUUGAUCCUAAAGGAAAAAGUGAUAAUGAGAUCAUGCGCUUUUGCCAAAGUUUCAUGAAUGAGAUCUAUAGAUAUCUGGGUCCCGACAAGGAUCUUCCAUCAGAAGAGAUGGGUGUUGGCACCCGCGAGAUGGGGUAUCUCUUUGGGCAAUAUAGACGUCUUGCUGGUCAUUUUCAGGGAAGUUUUACAGGGCCAAGGAUAUUUUGGUCUGGUUCUAGCCUUCGAACUGAAGCUACUGGCUAUGGGCUGGUUUUCUUUGCCCAGCUUAUUCUUGCAGAUAUGAAUAAGGAGCUCAAGGGACUGAGAUGUGCUGUAAGUGGUUCUGGAAAGAUUGCAAUGCAUGUUCUAGAAAAGCUUAUUGCCUAUGGUGCUGUCCCCAUUACAGUGUCAGAUUCAAAAGGAUAUUUGGUGGAUGAGGAUGGAUUUGAUUACAUGAAAAUAACAUUUUUGAGGGAUAUCAAAGCUCAGCAGAGAAGUUUGAGAGACUACUCAAAGACUUAUGCUCGGUCUAAGUACUAUGAUGAAGCAAAACCAUGGAGUGAAAGGUGUGAUGUUGCAUUUCCUUGUGCUUCCCAGAAUGAAAUAGAUCAGUCUGAUGCCAUUAAUUUGGUUAAUUCAGGUUGUCGUAUACUUGUAGAAGGUUCGAAUAUGCCAUGUAUCCCUGAGGCGGUUGAUGUUCUGAGAAAAGCUAAUGUUCUUAUUGCUCCUGCCAUGGCUGCUGGUGCUGGAGGGGUUGUUGCUGGUGAACUCGAAUUAAAUCAUGAGUGCAAUUUGAUGCAUUGGUCACCUGAGGACUUCGAAUCUAAAUUACAGGAGAAGGUAUUUGAUUUGUCAAUUGCAUUGGUGUUUGUGAUAUGAAAGAGAGAAAAUAGGCAGAGCAAGUGACCAACUGAUUAUGUUAGUUAGCUCUUCCAUUCUCCCCAAAUUCAGUGAGCAAAAUCCUCUUACAGCUCAUAAAGUAAUGAAAGUUAAACACUAUAUCAAAUGUCAAGCUUUGUAGAAUUAGUUCUUUUAUCUACAAGAUCACAGUUGUCGAAAAGAGCUUGCACAGGAUGUUCUCCGUUAUUCCAAUGUUAUCAUCAAAAAUUUUGAUGAGCCCUGAAGACAAUGGAGAGAAUAUAAAUUUUGAAACAUAAAUUAAGGCAUCGCGCUAUGAAUUUUGUUCAAAAGGGAGCAUAUAUAAUCAUCAGGAUGUUGCAUAAAUUGUGUCAUGAAACCAAUAGGUGGUUGAAUUUUGGUCAAAUUUGGCAACUCUUUAUUAAGGGCAGAAUGUUGUUUUUCCUUUGUAAACUUACUGAAGCCUUGAGAUUAUCUUGUUUCAUACACAAGAAGGGGCGAGUUAGAAACAUAACAUAGAUCGUGCAGAGAAACAUAUGGAUUUUUUGCUCUUAUAUUAGAACAGUUUCUCUAGGAUUGACUCUGGUUUGAGGUAGAGUUUGCUUUCAAUCCUAAACUUAUUGGAAGGCGUGUGAGAGUGUUCUGUAAUUCUUGUACCAUCUCAUAUAGUGAACCCAACAUCAUCACCCGUGGAUGUAGGCAUAUUGGCCGAACCACGUAAA